Molecule: ribosomal RNA, 560 nt
Filed under: Salmonella enterica subsp. enterica serovar Enteritidis
Lineage: Bacteria; Pseudomonadati; Pseudomonadota; Gammaproteobacteria; Enterobacterales; Enterobacteriaceae
Description: bacterial SSU rRNA
Rfam family: Bacterial small subunit ribosomal RNA
Source: RNAcentral
UAAUAACGUCGCAAGACCAAAGAGGGGGACCUUCGGGCCUCUUGCCAUCAGAUGUGCCCAGAUGGGAUUAGCUUGUUGGUGAGGUAACGGCUCACCAAGGCGACGAUCCCUAGCUGGUCUGAGAGGAUGACCAGCCACACUGGAACUGAGACACGGUCCAGACUCCUACGGGAGGCAGCAGUGGGGAAUAUUGCACAAUGGGCGCAAGCCUGAUGCAGCCAUGCCGCGUGUAUGAAGAAGGCCUUCGGGUUGUAAAGUACUUUCAGCGGGGAGGAAGGUGUUGUGGUUAAUAACCGCAGCAAUUGACGUUACCCGCAGAAGAAGCACCGGCUAACUCCGUGCCAGCAGCCGCGGUAAUACGGAGGGUGCAAGCGUUAAUCGGAAUUACUGGGCGUAAAGCGCACGCAGGCGGUCUGUCAAGUCGGAUGUGAAAUCCCCGGGCUCAACCUGGGAACUGCAUUCGAAACUGGCAGGCUUGAGUCUUGUAGAGGGGGGUAGAAUUCCAGGUGUAGCGGUGAAAUGCGUAGAGAUCUGGAGGAAUACCGGUGGCGAAGGCGGCC